AGAGUUUGAUCCUGGCUCAGGAUGAACGCUGGCGGCGUGCCUAACACAUGCAAGUCGAACGGACUCAUACUGAAACCUAGUGAUCUAUGAGUUAGUGGCGGACGGGUGAGUAACGCGUGGAUAACCUGCCGUAUACCGGGGGAUAACACUUAGAAAUAGGUGCUAAUACCGCAUGAGCGCACAGCUCCGCAUGGAGCGGUGUGAAAAACUCCGGUGGUAUACGAUGGAUCCGCGUCUGAUUAGCCAGUUGGCGGGGUAACGGCCCACCAAAGCGACGAUCAGUAGCCGGCCUGAGAGGGUGAACGGCCACAUUGGGACUGAGACACGGCCCAGACUCCUACGGGAGGCAGCAGUGGGGAAUAUUGCACAAUGGGGGAAACCCUGAUGCAGCGACGCCGCGUGGGUGAAGAAGUAUCUCGGUAUGUAAAGCUCUAUCAGCAGGAAAGAUAAUGACGGUACCUGACUAAGAAGCCCCGGCUAACUACGUG
This 488-nucleotide ribosomal RNA is filed under the name uncultured Lachnospiraceae bacterium. RNAcentral describes it as "bacterial SSU rRNA". It matches the Rfam family "Bacterial small subunit ribosomal RNA", at positions 8 to 507 of the family's 1533-position model. Lineage: Bacteria; Bacillati; Bacillota; Clostridia; Lachnospirales; Lachnospiraceae. The record is from RNAcentral.